UACGAAGGGGCUAGCGUUGCUCGGAAUUACUGGGCGUAAAGGGAGCGUAGGCGGACAUUUAAGUCAGGGGUGAAAUCCCGGGGCUCAACCUCGGAAUUGCCUUUGAUACUGGGUGUCUUGAGUAUGAGAGAGGUGUGUGGAACUCCGAGUGUAGAGGUGAAAUUCGUAGAUAUUCGGAAGAACACCAGUGGCGAAGGCGACGCACUGGCUCAUUACUGACGCUGAGGCUCGAAAGCGUGGGGAGCAAACAGGAUUAGAUACCCGGGUAGUCCCUGA
Molecule: ribosomal RNA, 276 nt
Filed under: uncultured prokaryote
Description: partial 16S ribosomal RNA
Rfam family: Bacterial small subunit ribosomal RNA
Source: RNAcentral